CCUUCGCGUCCUGCAGCGACGCCAUGGCGAGCCGGAUGGCGUGGUGGUGGUCGCGGGCGAUGGCGUGGCAGGAAGGAAGCGGUGCCGACGGGUCGUCCGCGCAGCCCCUGAGAGCGAGGGUCUCCGCCAACCCCAUGAGGGAGAUGGACUCCGAGAAGGACGUGGAAGCCAUCUCGACGUUGUACUGUAGGACGUGGACUUGGAGGAGAUCGCCGGCCGUGCCAAUCUGCAUCCGGGA
This 238-nucleotide long non-coding RNA is filed under the name Oryza brachyantha (malo sina). RNAcentral describes it as "long non-coding RNA (OBRA_LNC000026)". Lineage: Eukaryota; Viridiplantae; Streptophyta; Magnoliopsida; Poales; Poaceae. The record is from RNAcentral.